CCCUCAAGGGUUGUGCACGCCCGAGUGCUCUCACACAAUCCAUCUCACCUUUGUGCAUCACCGCGUGGGUCCCCUUUGCGGGAGGGCUCACGUUUUCACAUAAAACUCGAUACAGUGUAGAAUGUUUCUUUUGCGGUCGCACGCAAUCAAUACAACUUUCAACAACGGAUCUCUUGGCUCUCGCAUCGAUGAAGAACGCAGCGAAAUGCGAUACGUAAUGUGAAUUGCAGAAUUCAGUGAAUCAUCGAAUCUUUGAACGCACCUUGCGCCCCUUGGCAUUCCGAGGGGCACACCCGUUUGAGUGUCGUGAAAUCUUCAAAAACCCUUUUUUCUUUGAACCAUUGUGGUCGGAAAAAGGAUUUUUGGACUUGGAGGCUUUAAUGCUUGCCCUUUCUUUUUUUUGAAAGCGAGCUCCUCUCAAAUGAAUUAGUGGGGUCCGCUUUGCUGAUCCUUGACGUGAUAAAAUGUUUCUACGUUUUGGGUUUAGCACUGUCCCUUGGAUGCCUGCUGCUAACCGUCUCAUUGACAAUGAUGGUGCUCCGG
RNAcentral lists this unclassified non-coding RNA (543 nucleotides) under uncultured fungus. RNAcentral describes it as "sequence contains ITS1, 5.8S rRNA gene, ITS2". The stretch from base 154 to 307 matches the Rfam family "5.8S ribosomal RNA". Lineage: Eukaryota; Fungi. The record is from RNAcentral.